GGGAAAUCAUUAUUUAGAUAAGAAAAUAUAAAAUCUUACCAAAUGACAAACAGAACUGCAAAAUGGGUUUUCACAUAAAUUAGCUCUCUAUUAGGAUUCAGGAGAACAAAUAAACCAAAGAAUGUCAAAUACAAGUGAAUAUAAUUGCACUAGUAUCGGUAACAGUAGAAUUUCUUGGACUGGAAUUGUAAAUUGACAGCAACUCAGCUACUGAAAUAAAAGUACCCAAUACA
Molecule: unclassified non-coding RNA, 233 nt
Filed under: Hevea brasiliensis (rubber tree)
Lineage: Eukaryota; Viridiplantae; Streptophyta; Magnoliopsida; Malpighiales; Euphorbiaceae
Source: RNAcentral